AGGGGUAUAGCUCAGCAGCACAGCACCUGACUGGCAAGCAUGAGGCCCUGAGUUCAAUUCCCAGUUCCUCCC
RNAcentral lists this transfer RNA (72 nucleotides) under Cavia porcellus (domestic guinea pig). It matches the Rfam family "tRNA". Rfam says of the family: Transfer RNA (tRNA) molecules are approximately 80 nucleotides in length. Their secondary structure includes four short double-helical elements and three loops (D, anti-codon, and T loops). Lineage: Eukaryota; Metazoa; Chordata; Mammalia; Rodentia; Caviidae. The record is from Rfam by way of RNAcentral.